GCCACCGUAGCUCAGUUGGUAGAGCGCUUCAUUCGUAAUGAAGAUGUCGGAGGUUCGAUUCCUCUCGGUGGCUCCA
Molecule: transfer RNA, 76 nt
Filed under: Bdellovibrionales bacterium
Lineage: Bacteria; Pseudomonadati; Bdellovibrionota; Bdellovibrionia; Bdellovibrionales
Description: tRNA-Thr
Rfam family: tRNA
About the family: Transfer RNA (tRNA) molecules are approximately 80 nucleotides in length. Their secondary structure includes four short double-helical elements and three loops (D, anti-codon, and T loops).
Source: RNAcentral